This 66-nucleotide transfer RNA is filed under the name Orithyia sinica. RNAcentral's name for it is "tRNA-Cys". It matches the Rfam family "tRNA". From Rfam's summary of the family: Transfer RNA (tRNA) molecules are approximately 80 nucleotides in length. Their secondary structure includes four short double-helical elements and three loops (D, anti-codon, and T loops). The record is from RNAcentral. Lineage: Eukaryota; Metazoa; Arthropoda; Malacostraca; Decapoda; Orithyiidae.
GGUUCUGUAGUAAAAUUAUAUAACGUUAAAUUGCAAAUUUAAAAAUGUGAGGAAUCACUAGAACUU